This 680-nucleotide ribosomal RNA is filed under the name uncultured archaeon. RNAcentral describes it as "bacterial SSU rRNA". It matches the Rfam family "Archaeal small subunit ribosomal RNA", at positions 200 to 879 of the family's 1478-position model. The record is from RNAcentral.
CGCCUAAGGAUGAGUUGGCGGCGGAUUAGCUUGUUGGUGGGGUAAUGGCCCACCAAGGCAUUGAUCCGUAGGGGCCUUGGAAGAGGUAGCCCCGAGAAGGACACUGAGAUACUGGUCCUAGCCCCACGGGGUGCAGCAGGCGCGAAAACUUUACACUACACGAAAGUGUGAUAAGGGGAUUCCAAGUGCUUACACACAUGUGUAAGCUUUUAGUGAGAGCAAAAUUCUCGCUGAAUAAGUGGUGGGUAAGACCGGUGCCAGCAGCCGCGGUAAUCCCGGCGCCACAAGUAGGGAGCAGGGUUAUUGGGCCUAAAGCGUUCGUAGCAGGUCGUGUAAAUCUCUUGUGAAAUCGUAGGGCUUAACCUUACGGCGUGCAGGAGAGACUGCUCGACUUGAGACCGGGAGGGGUAGAGAGUAUUCCUUGGGGAGCGGUAAAAUGCUAUAAUCCUUGGAAGACUACCUGUGGCGAAGGCGCUCUACCAGAACGGGUCUGACUGUGAGGGACGAAAGCCAGGGGAGCAAUCCGGAUUAGAUACCCGAGUAGUCCUGGCCGUAAACGCUGUGAGCAAGGUGUUGCAUAUUCUAAUAUGAAUAUGCAGUGUCGAAACGAAGGUGUUAAGCUCACCGCCUGGGAAGUACGGUCGCAAGACUGGAACUUAAAGGAAUUGGCGGGGGAGCAC